This is a small nuclear RNA of Otolemur garnettii (small-eared galago), 195 nucleotides long. Its record names the gene U2. It matches the Rfam family "U2 spliceosomal RNA". From Rfam's summary of the family: U2 is a small nuclear RNA (snRNA) component of the spliceosome (involved in pre-mRNA splicing). Complementary binding between U2 snRNA (in an area lying towards the 5' end but 3' to hairpin I) and the branchpoint sequence (BPS) of the intron results the bulging out of an unpaired adenosine, on the BPS, which initiates a nucleophilic attack at the intronic 5' splice site, thus starting the first of two transesterification reactions that mediate splicing. Lineage: Eukaryota; Metazoa; Chordata; Mammalia; Primates; Galagidae. The record is from Ensembl.
AUUGCUUCUGGCCUUUUGGCUAAAAUCGGGUGUAGUAUCUGUUCUUAUCAUUUCAAUAUCUCACAUGCGCUCUAUUCAAGGAUAUUACAUUAAAUGGAUUUUGGAGCAGGGAGUUGGAAUAAGAGCUUGCUCUGUCCACUCCAUGCAUUGACCUGGACCUGGAAUUGCAGCACCUCCAGGAAGGGUGCAUCCCUU